GCCUCCGUAGCUCAGCUGGAAGAGCGGCUGACUUGUAAUCAGCAGGCCGCGAGUUCGAAUCUCGCCGGGGGCU
Molecule: transfer RNA, 73 nt
Filed under: Candidatus Hydrothermarchaeota archaeon
Lineage: Archaea; Methanobacteriati; Candidatus Hydrothermarchaeota
Description: tRNA-Thr
Rfam family: tRNA
About the family: Transfer RNA (tRNA) molecules are approximately 80 nucleotides in length. Their secondary structure includes four short double-helical elements and three loops (D, anti-codon, and T loops).
Source: RNAcentral